Molecule: ribosomal RNA, 253 nt
Filed under: uncultured bacterium
Lineage: Bacteria
Description: partial 16S ribosomal RNA
Rfam family: Bacterial small subunit ribosomal RNA
Source: RNAcentral
UACGUAGGGGGCAAGCGUUGUCCGGAUUUACUGGGCGUAAAGCGCGCGUAGGUGGAACGAUCAGUCCGGUCUGAAAGCCCCCGGCUCAACCGGGGAGGGUGGCUGGAAACUGUCGUUCUUGAGGGCGAGAGAGGAGGGUGGAAUUCCUGGUGUAGCGGUGAAAUGCGCAGAUAUCAGGAGGAACACCUAUUGCGAAGGCAGCUCGCUGGGACGUAACUGACGCUGAGACGCGAAAGCGUGGGGAGCAAACAGG